Molecule: long non-coding RNA, 7837 nt
Organism: Dermacentor albipictus
Lineage: Eukaryota; Metazoa; Arthropoda; Arachnida; Ixodida; Ixodidae
Source: RefSeq, a predicted model, not a curated record
CUUCAGCUGUCGCUGCGUGUGCGUGCGCGCUGCAUUGACGCCGGCCGAUGUGGUUGUUUAAUCCGCUGUACACUGUGCCGAAAAAAAAUGUGGUGCAUUUUGUGUGCACUGAGGAUGACAACACCCUUUGGACCGCCUCAUGAAAAGCCUUUGGUACUCUCGCAUCGGAUCACAGUGCACGGAAGAAUUUGUUGAAAGUUGUGCUAUCACGUGCUGUAGUUAAUCCGCAAUUCAACAGUGUUUACGCCGGAAGGACCGUCGGCGCGACACGAAGGAACGUUUGCUGAGUACGCCUAGAAAGGCAUGCGGGCACCAGCGGGAAGCAAAGCGGGCACUAGUCUUGCGCGGCCUCUCUCGUUGCGCUGAGUUACCAGAACGCUGCCCGCGCCUUUCCACAGAGCGCUGACAGCGCUUCGUUCUCUCACCUAGCCUAUCUUCCACCGUGGCCAAAGGCACCUCUACACAACAUACCUGUGGCAUGUCUGCAGCCUAAACAGCACUGCAAUGCAUCUGAUCUGCAAGCUGCGACAAGCAAACACCAACAAAAGCAAUGCUGCGAGUGACCAGGAAAAAAGCUGUUUAUGACAGCUUGAGGAGACCUGGCCACCACAACACUGUGCAGCUCAUGGACAAUUGGUAUAGCUGGGCCUGGAGAACAAGUGUAAGCAGACCAUGCUAUGUUGCUGAUCGGCGCCGAUCUCCACAUCCAAGUCGAUCCCGCAACAGCUAGGCACCACUGUACCUUGCUUCAUUGACAAGGUGAUAUAAUAUGGUGCCCUGCAAGCUCUCACCCAAGCAACACAAUCCAACGGUCUUCUCUCAGCAGACUCGGUGCAUCGAAGUACCAUUAGAAGGUCCAAUAAACAGUGCUUGGGAGAUGUGUGACAUGCAUUGGCUUGAACAAGAGGACUUCAGGAUUAAUGAAAGCUGAAGUGGGUGUACAGAAAAACCUAUGUAAAGUAUACUUCUCUUUCAUUAACAAGUGCAAGUCAUUACUUCGCCUGACGUUUUCCACCUCAAUAUUACACUUUACUUUAGAUUUGUGAACAAACCAUUACAGCAACACAACACUGCAGUAAGAUCAGUACAAGUGAUCAGACAGGUAGUACACUUGCAAGAAUUACAUUCACAUACUUGUACUAAAUAUGAAAAUGCGGUACCAAUCACUUUCAGGGUGCAUUUUCCCAUAAGUCAUACAUGGUGAAUGUGCUCAUAGGUCAUACAAAACUUGUUCAUGAUGUGUCAUCGGUGUUGGUAGUGCUAAUCAAUUUAUGCGGAAAAUUGUGUUCAUCUUUGUAUCAAGCAAUGUACCAGGCAAACCUAUAUGUGACAGUGGCAUACUUGGAGCAAACAUAAUGCAGACCUACUUGUCUUAAUGCUGAUUGCAAAUACACAAGUGUACCAAAUAGGUUUAAAGAGUAAAUUAUAUUAAGCGACAUAAAACCAUUCUGAAAUAACCUGGUUUGAAUGGGGCAAUAAAGAAAUUUAGACAGGGGUAAACAGGACAGGCAUAAACAGAAUCAAGCAGGACUGUAUUAAACAGGGCAGGACUGAACAGAAAUAGACGGGAUCAAAUGGGUCUAGACUAAAUGGGUUCAAAUGGGACUGAGCUAAACGGGUUCAAAUGGAAACAAACUGGACCUGGUAUGAACGGGUCCCGUUGUGUAAUCCUAUUUGAUGAGACCUGUUUGAAAACAAAUAAAUUUUAUUAAUAGGGUAAAUAUGACUUUUGCAGUAAAUUAUGCAUGCAGGCAAUCCAGAGAUUAUGAAUGUGUUUUGUGAACAAAGCUGAAUUUAUCCCGCUGCCCUGCAAGAAUGGUGAACUCAGCCGAUAUCAAAUCUAGUGAAACGUGUGCGAGGGAGGGAGGACACAAUGUUAAAUGUUCUGGCAAAGUAACGUGUGUUGAUGAAUUGACGACUUUUUCAAGGUUCCGAACAAGUGCUCCAAAGCUUUGCACGCAGGCAAGGUUUCAAACAUACAGCUUGUUAAAGUAUGAGAUGUAACUUCAAGAAACUGAAACAUUUAUUGCAACUGCUCGGAAAGAAUUGUAUUGUAAUUCUUCAAAGUCGCACACAUCUGCUGUCUUUUUUUGUUUUUCUUACGAAUAUUGUAAGUCAUUUAUGUUGAUUGUACUUGGUUGUGUAUAACCUCAACAGUACUAUCACCUUAACUACCAAUACAUUUCUGCUAUAGACUUAAACAGCAAGUACAAUUCUUUAUAUAUAAUUAUUGAAUUUAUUUGUAGCCAGUGUGCAUAUAUUCUGUGCACUGUACUGCUCCUACUGGGUGGGGUGAGGGAUUUCUGUCGGGCACUGAUUGCCUUUUAUUCCUGCAUCACUUUGAGAUUUUAUAUAGCUUCAAGAAACAAAUACACAUUCGGAUACCUCUUUGGGCCCCCAUGGUUCCCCAUGUGCGCUUGAUAGAUAUCAGUAUGAUAAUUAUAAAAUAACUGACAGAUGUAUUUCCAGGCUCUUUCACUUAUUGUAAUAGUAAUUUUCAAUCUGUGUGUGUGUGUGUGUGUGUGUGUGUGUGUGUGUGUGUGUGUGUGUGUGUGUGUGUGUGUGUGUGUGUGUGUGUGUGUGUGUGUGUGUAGAGAGAGAGAGAGGGUCGGUCAUCAGCUCCUUUGCAGUUUGCCCCCACCACUGAAGAAAUAGUAGUACGCCUCUAGGUAUGCUUGACUGUAAGGUAUGGCAGACUGUAUAGUAUACUUGUGCUAGCUUUAGUGGCCUCCUUUCUACAACUGCAGUAGGAUAUAAUUACCUGCUGUGGCCAUUGUAGUGGCCUGCUUUCUUUCUGCAUGGUAUAGUUAUUUAUGGCAACUGUAGUGUCUGUUUUCUCUUUGCACUAAAUGUUACAGCAACUGUAUGUGGUCUAUAUUGCCAUGUGGUAGUGACUCUCAAGAACACAGUAGCAAAACUGUGAAUGGCAGAACUAACUGUUUAUUGGGCGAACCUGUGCCCAGUAAAGCAGGCUACACUGAGCACAAUGAUAGCGAUGAACACAGUCGACAAUCGUCGAAAAUCUGACUUGCCGGUGAAGCGCGUUGGCUUUUUACAUGAGUCAUCGAAGGUUCUAGACUAAUUGCUGGUACUUGCGUGUCUUCCAGAAAGUACAACACAAUUCACAUUGUGCAUACAAUCAGAUUACACAAGCUUUAGUGACAACAGACAACGCAUAGAACCAUCGAUAACAUUCCAGUAAGUUCCAAUUCUGUAGGCGCGUUUUGCGCCGAAUGAUAAGUUUUAAGUUGUUAGUGAAAUUGAGUCCCUGAAGAAAAAAUAAAUAAGUACAUGUGUCAAUUCCCCUGCAUUGUCCUGAUGCUACAAAUACGAAAGCAAAAACAAAACCAUGCAUAUUAAAGAAAGAACAACAAAGAAACAAAGUAAGUUCAUCAGCGGGCACAGAAAAGCUCAAGACACCACGUGGACGACUUAAGGUCAUGCGCAGUGCCGCUGUGAUUGCGAAAUGCCAUCUGGCACGACCUCAUAGUCCAGUGUGCCAAAAUGUCAGUUGAUCUUGUAUGGUCCGAAAUAGCAUCGUAACAGGUUCUCAGUAAGUGCUUGUCGGCAUAUCAGAGUCCAGAUCCAAACACAGUCGCUGGGCUGGUAAUCCACCUUGCCUCGGUGAAGAGUGUAGUACCGGCUGUCAAUUCUCUGCUGGUUCAUGAUACCCAUGCGGGCGAGCUGUCGGACUUCUUUGGCGCACUGGAGAUGAGCACCGACGUCGAGAGUCAUUGCGUUCCUCCCGUACACCAGCUUGAACGCCGUGAUUUUUGUUGUUUCUUGCACUGCCAUGUUAUAAACAAAAGUUACGUACAGCAGGACGACAUCCCACAUCUUAUGCUUGACGUCGCCAUACGUUGCAAGCAUAUUGGCAAGGGUCUUCAUCAGCUGCUUUGUAAGACAAUUCGUCUGUAGGUGGUAGGCAGUUGCUCUCCUGUGGCUUGUCUGGCUGCAUUGCAAAAUGGCUUGGAUAAGCUCUGCAGUAAAGGCCGUUCCUCUGUCGGUGAUGAGGAUUUCUGGGGCACCAUGUUGCUGCAGGAUGUUUUCGAGGAAGAAUUUAGAAACUUCGGCCGCACUACCUUCAGGCAAAGCUUUCAUUUCGGCAUAGCUGGUAAGGUAGUCGGUAGCCACGAUGAUCCAUUUAUUUCCAGAUGUUGUCGUUUGAAGGUCCCAACAAAUCCAUCUCAAUCUGCUGAAAUGGUUGCAAGGAGGCUCAAUUGGUUGUAGUAAUUCCACUGGCUUUGUAGGUGGUGCCUUGCAUCGCUGACCGUCUCAGCGUGUCUUGACAUAAUGGGCAACGUUGGUGGUCAGUAAUACCUUUCCUGUGUCCUUCAUAGCAUCUGGGAGAAUCCGGAGUGCCAGGCAGUCGGAUCGUCAUGUAGGGCAUGCAGUACUUCUGGACGCAGUACUGAGGGAACAACAAGAAGGUAGUUGGUGCCAACUGGUGAGAAGUUUAUUACUCAGAUCUUGUUUUGAAGCAAAAACGAAGACAAUCGUCGCCUAAAUGCCCUAGGGACAAUGUCAGUGUUGCCUUCCAAAUACUCGACGAGGCUCUUUAGCAUCAGGUCUGCUCUUUGCUGUUAAGUGAAGUUUUCCACACCUAUUGUUCCUAGGAAGGCGUCGUCAUCCUCCUCGUCUUGCAGUGGCGGGUCAAUGGGGGCUUGUGAUAGGCAGUCGGCAUUAGAGUGCUUCCGUACCAAUUUUUAGUUGAUGGUGACGUCAAAUUCCUGGAGCCUCAGACUCCAUCGUGCGAGGCAUUCUGAAGGGUCCUUUAAAUUUGCCAGCCAACACAAGGCAUGGUGGUCGCUUAUGACAUUGAAGGGCUUGCCAUAUAGGUAAGGGCAGAAUUGCGUGGUAGCCCAAAUGAUUGCAAGGCAUUCUUUUUCCAUAGAAGAAUCGGCUUCUACUUUCGACAGCAACUGACUAACGUAAGCAAUGACCUCUUCAAAUCUGUCUUUCCUUUGGACUAGGAUAGCGCCGAGGCCUAGGCUACUUACGUUGGUGUGGAUUUCGGUGUUGGCGUCUUCGUCGCAGUGGGUGAGCACUGGUAGUUACUGCAGCCACUGUUUAAAGGAACAUGAAUAGAGAUAACCCUGCUGAUGGAAAGACUGCUUAUCAUAGUGGCUAAAACGAGCCAUGGUUUUCUCAUUAAACAUGUACUUAUAUUUUUAAUUCUUCACUAAAAGUCAUGAAAGAUGACCAUUGGUGCCCCAUGCGGCAAAAACAUGAAGCUGCACAAGAAGCCCAUCACAUGACUUUCUAUUAAUGUAUGCAGUUCCUGGCCUUUUUGUUAGUAUUGAAAUGCAGUACACUUUUUCCUGUUAAAGAUUUUUCUAACUUACAAUGUGCAGAUAGGCCUUUGUUUGUUGCGAGUUGAAAAGGGGCGCUGCCUUCGUUUUCAGUAAGUUCGUUUGGCUCGUCUAUCAACAGAAUGAUGAUGGGGGUACUGUGUACUAGAAUAAGGCAGUGAAGCAACUGUCAUAGGCUGUGCCUUGACAGAGCUGUCACGGUAGGCGGCGACUGUAGCAGCGGCGUUGCUGUUGCUGACUACACUAUGCCUCUUGAAAACACGUGAGAUUUGGCGUAGGCAAGCUGUUUCGGCUGCGUGUUCCUUUAUUUUGUGCGUGUUUUGCAAAACAGCUUGUCUAUAAAUGGUGACACCUUGCUUCAGCAAUGGGUAAGCAAAUGCUUACCCAUGUAAACAACUUUGAAAGAAUGAGUGGGUUAUGCUUUUCAGCCUCUGGACAGUGUCCUCUGUUAGCAUUCAUUCUUUAUCGGAUGCGACUGGAGAGAAGCUGUGGCAGCAUAGAAGCUACUGCCAAAUUUUUCUCAAGAAUGAAGUUGCUGAUUGCUCUGAAGAUGUCUAGGUUUACAGCUGAAGCUCUGACGUCCAAUUCUAACAGUGUACAAAAGAUCCAAGAUAUGCUUGAAUUUCUGAACACAUGGGAGCAUCACACUGACAAGGCAUUUUCUCAGUGACUCAAGAGCAGAAGGAUUAAGGGUAAGACUGACAAGUAUGCUCGAGCUUCUUGACUACUAGUACAAAAAGGUCGGAUUCAAAUAUUUGGUAACUUCAAGGGUUAGCCAGGAUAAAGAUGAGAACUUUUUUGCUAUAUAGUGAGACUUUCGUUGGGCUGCAACAGUCAUCCAAUGCUGCAUCAGUUUUUACUGUCUGUUCAUUGUCUUUUUUAGAACUUGGCACAAAGCGUCACAGGCAGCAAUGUAAAGGAUGAUGUGGUCAACCCUCUUCUUGAGGCAACGGACAGAGAAAAGGUACCACUAAGGGAAAGUUUUUGGAGACAGUGAAGUUGUAUACAGAGGAAAAUACAGAGGUUCUGACCACACCUUUGCCAGCAGAAACUGAUGAAUUAACACCUGUAUCGUGAAGAGAAGCAAGUCAAAAUUAUAUUACAUUUCAGGCUAUGUAGUAGCAAAAAAAGUGCAUGCUGCUGACCAAAUGUCCCAAUUGCAUUGGCCGCCUCUUGCUCUCAACUGCGCAAGGGCGCUUGUUGGCUGCUUCUGCAUUUGUGCAGUUCAAAGAUCAGGGUGACUCGUUGAACCCUUUAGUUGAAUUUUCACAUUCAUUACACACCUAGAGGAUAUUUUUAGAAGUUGUUUCUCUACUAAUAAGGUAAGGUACACAGUAAGAGUAAGGAUAUCUUGGAGAUGAUUCAUACCUGUGCAACACUGGCACAGAAAAUGGCAUUAACUUCCUAAUGCCUUAAGAUUUAUAGUCAUCUGCAUGGUUGCCACACAUGUAAAUCUGAUGGCAUUCGCCUUCAUUCCAUUCCUCACUGAAGGCGUUCACCCGAACUUAUUCAACUGGGAAAUGCAUACUCUCGACGCCAUAGCUUGCUCAGUGCGGUUUACUUCAAUUAUUUCAAACAGCAUCCUACUUAGCUGGUAACAACUAUUUCAGGUGUUUAAGCCAUACAGCACACACAAAUGCAUCAGGCUUUAUAUAAUGCGAAAAAAAAAAAUUGGAGGUGAUGCUGCUGCAAGUGCAGUUGUGUUAAAAGGUAGGCAGCAAGCAUACAUGAACGAUUUCAUUGCCAUCGUGCUUCGUCAGUUGCAACGUUGUAAAGCUAGUGGCACCAUAGUAUGCUUAUUUCUACAUUUCAGUAUCCUUUAAGGCGGCUUAAAGUUGUAAAUACAUGUUUACCUUUUUAUUAUUGCCUUAAAAUUGCUCACUUCAGAAGACACCAUUAUCGACAUCAUCAGGUCAAAUGUUAUUAAAUUUGGAUCUGUAACAGCUCUGCUGAAAAAAAUUAUAUUCAGGUGCUUAAGGCCUUUACUACUGAAUGCCAUUUUCUGUGCCUAUGUCACAUGGGUAUCAUUCUGCUAUGCCCUUAAUUAUAUUUUUUGCAAAGCACAUACAGAAUGCUUGACACCCUGUGUUAUUGGCUCUUAUGUCACAACCAGGCCCCACUUUUUUUAUAAGAGGGCUGAACAAGGCCAACACCUCCAAGCGGUAGUUAUCUAAGCACUUGAAGUUAAGCAGGCUGAAUGGAACGCAUGUUAAACCAUUAAUUUGACUGGCAUACCAGCAUCCCUGAGUGAUAUAGCUGCAGCUUAACAUUUGCAUUGUGUGUACGUCACAGUUGUUUAUCUGUAUGGUGAAUUUCUUUAAAUCAUUCAGUGGGUUUUGCUUUUCAUAUAUUUAUACUUAUUUAACCAUGGCAUUGCAUGCAACAUGUUCACUUCGGUUGUGCAUUUCUGUGUUAUAUUCUUGAUUUUGUCAUGCCAUGGAAAACUUUUAAUGUGGCUCUCAUAUUAUUUUAUACUUGUGUAUUUAACUUCUGUGCACUGUCUUGAUCUGGAGCAUUUUGUUGUG